CCUACGGGGGGCAGCAGUGAGGAAUAUUGGUCAAUGGACGAGAGUCUGAACCAGCCAAGUAGCGUGAAGGAUGACUGCCCUAUGGGUUGUAAACUUCUUUUAUAUGGGAAUAAAAUGUUCCACGUGUGGGAUUUUGUAUGUACCAUAUGAAUAAGGAUCGGCUAACUCCGUGCCAGCAGCCGCGGUAAUACGGAGGAUCCGAGCGUUAUCCGGAUUUAUUGGGUUUAAAGGGAGCGUAGGUGGAUUGUUAAGUCAGUUGUGAAAGUUUGCGGCUCAACCGUAAAAUUGCAGUUGAAACUGACAGUCUUGAGUACAGUAGAGGUGGGCGGAAUUCGUGGUGUAGCGGUGAAAUGCUUAGAUAUCACGAAGAACUCCGAUUGCGAAGGCAGUUCACUGGACUGCAACUGACACUGAGGCUCGAAAGUGUGGGUAUCAAACAGGAUUAGAUACCCGUGUAGUC
Molecule: ribosomal RNA, 460 nt
Filed under: uncultured bacterium
Lineage: Bacteria
Description: partial 16S ribosomal RNA
Rfam family: Bacterial small subunit ribosomal RNA
Source: RNAcentral